GGGGAAUUUUCCGCAAUGGGCGAAAGCCUGACGGAGCAAUACCGCGUGAGGGAGGAAGGCUCUUGGGUUGUAAACCUCUUUUCUCAGGGAAUAAGUACUGAAGGUACCUGAGGAAUCAGCGUCGGCUAACUCCGUGCCAGCAGCCGCGGUAAUACGGAGGAUGCAAGCGUUAUCCGGAAUGAUUGGGCGUAAAGCGUCCGCAGGUGGUUUUUCAAGUCUGCUGUCAAAGAAUCUGGCUCAACCAGAUAAAGGCAGUGGAAACUGACAGACUAGAGUAUGGUAGGGGUAGAGGGAAUUCCUGGUGUAGCGGUGAAAUGCGUAGAGAUCAGGAAGAACACCGGUGGCGAAAGCGCUCUGCUGGACCAUAACUGACACUGAGGGACGAAAGCUAGGGGAGCGAAUGGGAUUAGAUACCCCAGUAGUC
This 424-nucleotide ribosomal RNA is filed under the name uncultured cyanobacterium. RNAcentral's name for it is "bacterial SSU rRNA". It matches the Rfam family "Bacterial small subunit ribosomal RNA", at positions 356 to 795 of the family's 1533-position model. Lineage: Bacteria; Bacillati; Cyanobacteriota. The record is from RNAcentral.